Betta splendens (Siamese fighting fish) is the source of this 1768-nucleotide long non-coding RNA. Lineage: Eukaryota; Metazoa; Chordata; Actinopteri; Anabantiformes; Osphronemidae. The record is from Ensembl.
AUGCAGGGUGGCGAAGAGAGCCUCCCCUCCACGGCGCUCAUUGGGUUGAUGAGGAGCCGGGUCAACAGGCGCACAAAUGAACGCAUGCCGCUCGGUUCGGGCGCGGACGCGCGAAGGUUAUCGUCUCACAUUGCCGCCCAUGGCUGUAGACGUUACAUAGGUGCGCGCAGAACACGGCGGCGGCCGCCGCGGUGGCAGAUUGUCAAGUGGGGAACGCGAGGUGAAGGAGAGUCAGGCAUCGGAAAGCUUCAACACACGCUGGCAAGCUUCCUAAAUACACGAUGCUACUGGUUGAAGAGGUGUGUGUUUGUGCGGUCACAUCCCACAGGGACCUCUGUGUUGAAAACGGCUUUGGAAGUGGACGUUCUGGAAGGACAUAGCGUUGUUCGCACGCUUCAAAUGUCAUUUCAAAAGGCUCAGAGCGCCACGGGCACAAAUUACAGUCACCUCCGUUGUUUGGGGGCGGAGGCAUAAAUCUCGGCGCGCGAAACCGGAAUUAUCUGCUCGAGUAAGUCCCACAAAAGGCUGAGUGAUGAAUGAUGUUUUGUGAUUUGUGUGAAGCGACCCUUAAAAGACACAGCGUUCUCAUGACACAUGUGCAUCUUAAAUUAGCCGCUCGCCGCCGAGGGACAAAGAUACAGUAGUCGCGCCGAAGGGCGGAGUCCCUCCACGGACGUAUACGUUUGAUUGUUAAAGCCCCUGUACUUACUUCACCUGUUCAUGUGGCAUUUGAUUGGAAUUAUAUUCAAUUUCCUCUCAAAGAGACGACGCCAGGUGUUUGACAGUUAGUGUAAUUUAUCAUGCGGCGGGUUCGGUUGGUGUGUAGGCCGCUAUAUCAUAGGAAAAGUCCCACGGUUUCCACCGCAGGCGUUUGUGUCACGCUCAUCACGUUUGACAGCUGUUCAAACUUCACCGCAUCUGCUUCUUCAGAGGCAAAGUCUGCUGCUAUCAUUAGCACAUUCACAACAUUGCCAUAUUGCCCCCUUUUGCAUCUGUUCUCAGAAGUAAACUGUAACUGAUGGUAUUAUCUAAAGCCGUGAUUCAAUAAUCUGGCUAAUCCUUCGGGACUUCUUAUGUUGUAGGACUGAACACUUGCUGUGCUCUCGGAAAAAGUAAGGAGCCUUAAAGUCAAGAGUUGAAAUUAUGGUGUGCGGGAUAAAGCUAUUUUUGGGAUUAGGAAUUUUACAUUUGGAAAAAUUAAUGAACGCACGGCGCGGAAAUGGGGAGAACUUUUAUACUUCCACAAAGAUGAUGAACACAAUGUCAACACGAGAGUGAUGAACGACGGGAAGAGGUGCAUUUAUCAGUAGGAAAGUUCCAUUAAACACAAAGAGGAACGUUGCAUCGCGACAGCGAUUAAAAUGCAUUCUUGUUUAGGAGCGGCGCUGAAUUGGAAGGCUCCAUUGUAUUUGGAGUGGGGCUAUGUUUAGACUGGAGGAACAUUAAGGUCAUAAGAAGCUUUGGGGUGAAAAAAAAAAACACACGCCACCUCCUACCCUGCUUUAUUCCUUCACACUUUCCUGCAAACCCUGCCAUUUCGGAGCUUUAUAAAUAGUAUUAAGACUGUUCUUGGCUCCCUUGUCGUUAUGGGCCGCUCAGUUUGAGUGGCGGUUGUCACAGACAAUUUUUAUCAUACUUUCAUAGAGGGAGGCUGUUCACUGAGGAGGAGAAAAUUCCCUUUGAGGAAGUAAAGACUUAGUCGGAAGAAAAUUGGCCACAGCGAACGCAGCCCUGUUGUGUUAAAAGAAUAAAUAGUCCCCGGUUAGCA